CACACGCUGUCCUCCGAAACGUGUCCCAUCACUUAAAAUAUGCAGAUACGCUUGUAGCUUGAACCUCAAACCGCAGUGUAUCGAUAAUGUAAAUAAACACCAAUGUGUUCCUGUUUACAGGUUUGAUUUGAUCCACCACUUCGACGCCUCGACCCUGAAGCUUGCAAGGUGUCUGUAUUGCUGGAAGAUGCUGAUCUUCAGUGCAGUCGUCAGUGUCUGAUACUAUUUUACUUGUGACAUCUAGGGAAUCGCUGGUGCUGUCCGAGUUGUGAGUAACCUCAGCUGAAAAUAUAACAAUUUUAAACCUGAUUUACUGCCAUGUCUACUAAUUCCUGGACAGUGGAAGAAGUAUGUGGAUAGCUGGAGGAAAGAGGACUGGGAGAACUUGGUGAGGUGUAAUCAGUGCCCAAGGUGUUCAAUCAAAAAAAAUUCAUACAACAAAUUUCUAAAACAGCUACAACUAUAUCCUGAUUUUGCUGUAAAUUGUGGAAUUAACUCGACAGUACACCAGAAUAAAGUCCCUUCAAAACCACAUUCGAAACCACCACCGGCUGCUUGACAUCUGAACUGAUAAUGUUCACCUCAUGGAAACAUCACAAGCUGAUGAUUUCCAUUUACCUGAGGAGUGUGAUGCUUUGGUUUCUGACUAUCAACCUUUUGUUCUUGGUUUCUAGGAUCCUUGUGGCAUAACCAGUUCAUUCAAAUAGAACUACAGUCUCUUGAACCAGCCUGACCUGUUGAAAACCAGCCAAUAUUACGGAUUUUUUAAAAAUAUUUUUAAUAUUUUGGCAUACAUACAAGUUUUAGAUAUAGAAUAUUGCAUUAUUCCAGUUUAGCGUUUAUAGAACCUCAAUGUGAGCGUUUUGUUGUACAUUAUGUUGAAACAGAUCACGAUUCAAACUUUGCAUUUAAGUCAGGGUGGACAUG
Long non-coding RNA from Acipenser ruthenus (sterlet), 927 nucleotides. RefSeq lists it as uncharacterized. The transcript is spliced from 3 exons. Lineage: Eukaryota; Metazoa; Chordata; Actinopteri; Acipenseriformes; Acipenseridae. The record is from RefSeq and is a predicted model, not a curated record.